UUACGGUCAUACCGCAAUGAAACGCCGUUUCUAGUAAGAUCACUGAAGUUAAGCAACGUCGAGCCUGGUCAGUAUCUAGAUGGGUGAGCGCUUGGGAAUACCAGGUAUUGUAA
This is a non-coding RNA of Acanthosepion pharaonis, 113 nucleotides long. Lineage: Eukaryota; Metazoa; Mollusca; Cephalopoda; Sepiida; Sepiidae. The record is from the annotation of a GenBank genome assembly.